GACGAACGCUGGCGGCGUGCCUAAUACAUGCAAGUAGAACGCUGAAGGAGGAGCUUGCUUCUCUGGAUGAGUUGCGAACGGGUGAGUAACGCGUAGGUAACCUGCCUGGUAGCGGGGGAUAACUAUUGGAAACGAUAGCUAAUACCGCAUAAUAGCAGUUGUUGCAUGACAACUGUUUGAAAGGUGCAAUUGCACCACUACCAGAUGGACCUGCGUUGUAUUAGCUAGUUGGUGGGGUAACGGCUCACCAAGGCGACGAUACAUAGCCGACCUGAGAGGGUGAUCGGCCACACUGGGACUGAGACACGGCCCAGACUCCUACGGGAGGCAGCAGUAGGGAAUCUUCGGCAAUGGACGGAAGUCUGACCGAGCAACGCCGCGGGAGUGAAGAAGGUUUUCGGAUCGUAAAGCUCGGUUGUAAGAGAAGAACGAGUGUGAGAGUGGAAAGUUCACACUGUGACGGUAUCUUACCAGAAAGGGACGGCUAACUACGUG
This 495-nucleotide ribosomal RNA is filed under the name uncultured bacterium. RNAcentral describes it as "partial 16S ribosomal RNA". It matches the Rfam family "Bacterial small subunit ribosomal RNA", at positions 28 to 507 of the family's 1533-position model. The record is from RNAcentral.